This 547-nucleotide ribosomal RNA is filed under the name uncultured bacterium. Its description in RNAcentral is "bacterial SSU rRNA". It matches the Rfam family "Bacterial small subunit ribosomal RNA", at positions 356 to 896 of the family's 1533-position model. The record is from RNAcentral.
GGGGAAUUUUGGACAACGGGCGCAAGCCUGAUCCAGCAAUGCCGCGUGAGUGAAGAAGGCCUUCGGGUUGUAAAGCUCUUUUGUCAGGGAAGAAACGGGAUUGGCUAAUAUCCAGUCCUAAUGACGGUACCUGAAGAAUAAGCACCGGCUAACUACGUGCCAGCAGCCGCGGUAAUACGUAGGGUGCAAGCGUUAAUCGGAAUUACUGGGCGUAAAGCGUGCGCAGGCGGUUUUGUAAGUCUGUCGUGAAAUCCCCGGGCUCAACCUGGGAAUUGCGAUGGAGACUGCAAGGCUAGAAUCUGGCAGAGGGGGGUAGAAUUCCACGUGUAGCAGUGAAAUGCGUAGAGAUGUGGAGGAACACCGAUGGCGAAGGCAGCCCCCUGGGUCAAGAUUGACGCUCAUGCACGAAAGCGUGGGGAGCAAACAGGAUUAGAUACCCUGGUAGUCCACGCCCUAAACGAUGUCUACUAGUUGUCGGGUUUUAAUUAACUUGGUAACGCAGCUAACGCGUGAAGUAGACCGCCUGGGGAGUACGGUCGCAAGAUUA